RNAcentral lists this ribosomal RNA (371 nucleotides) under uncultured bacterium. Its description in RNAcentral is "bacterial SSU rRNA". It matches the Rfam family "Bacterial small subunit ribosomal RNA", at positions 527 to 896 of the family's 1533-position model. The record is from RNAcentral.
GAAGGGUGCAAGCGUUACUCGGAAUUACUGGGCGUAAAGCGUGCGUAGGUGGUGCGUUAAGUCUGUCGUGAAAGCCCCGGGCUCAACCUGGGAAUGGCGAUGGAUACUGGCGCGCUAGAGUGCGGUAGAGGAGAGUGGAAUUCCCGGUGUAGCAGUGAAAUGCGUAGAGAUCGGGAGGAACAUCAGUUGCGAAGGCGGCUCUCUGGACCAGCACUGACACUGAGGCACGAAAGCGUGGGGAGCAAACAGGAUUAGAUACCCUGGUAGUCCACGCCCUAAACGAUGCGAACUGGACGUUGGGAGCAAUCAGGCUCUCAGUGUCGAAGCUAACGCGUUAAGUUCGCCGCCUGGGGAGUACGGUCGCAAGACUG